GGAGGUUUCCACCACAGGGCUGAGCCCUUGUGAGUUUCCAACAUAUACCAAGCGAGCACCAGCGACAAAGGGGCAUUACUGAGAUACUCUUUCUGCUGUGGCCAACAAUUCAGGAUGGUUGUUUCUCCUUGAGUUGGAAAAAACCUAAAUCCUUUAGCAAUCCUAUGGAUAGUACAAACAGAGGAAGGAGACAGAAUAUAGAAGAGAAAAUAAUAUUGGGACCUCAGUAUAACCAUGCAACAGGGAAGCCUGACCCUCUCUAUUGCUCCUAAACACCUGCUGCUGUGUACUCCCGAUCUGGCUCUUGUAGACAGCCAUCCAUUGGGACGUAGCCUGGAGGCAAGAGAUCAUGCACUCUUUCCUACCUGAGGAUAUUAUUUUGCUUGCUUGCCACCAAGGUGACACCUGGUGAUCAGGGUGGGAAAUAGAGUGGCAAGAUUCUUGCUAGGAGACCCAAACCACAAGACUGGUGUCUCUAUUCACGGGUUAUAAACAGGAUUUCUGGCUUUGGACCUUACUCCACUGCCACUAACAGAAUACUCACAGUCUAGCAGCCUACCCUGAUUUCAAGGGUUGUUGUUGCCAGAGAGAUCACAAGCUUGCAAAAUAAUGUCUUGAAAUCGAUCAGCUUCGUUUGCAAUCCCUAGAUGCCAGAAUUGAAACCAGUAGAGAGAACUGCUAAAGCAGUACAGCCCUCAGAACAGGAAUUCCCCCAGAAUAUACCUUCCUGGAGUGGCCACGAGGCAAAAGACAAUUGGAUUUCUGUCACUUGCAAACUAAAAAGCCUUUACUAAUACAAACAGAACUUUGUUUCUCUCUUUUCCUGGCGAGGAUGUCUCAAGACGCCUGAUGUAUAUAUUCCUCCCAGCUCUUACCAGACCCAAGAUCCCCUCUGGGGGUCAUCCCUCCAAGUUCAUCCUGAGAGUAGAACUGAAAGCAGAGAAGAAAGAGGGACCAUAUUCCCUUUGAACCCAGCCGACAUCUGGAUGUUCCAAGCCUGGCCUGCUGGACUCCCAAGGAUGGGUAAUAUCUGAAUGUGAAUAAAUAGACACCGAGCUCUUAAACAUGACACAGUUCCAAGCACAACACCCAAUGAGGCCAACAAUCUGAAUUCCUUGAGAGGUUAAAGCUGAGGGAAGUUCUCUUUGGAAGAAGACGCACCUGCUCUCCAUUCAUUUUCCCUUUACUUAAAGGGGUGCUCAGAGCAGCACUGCUUGUCCCUCGGUGAAGGCACUGAAGAACAGAGCAUGUUGUGUUGCUGCUAACAAAAUGGGCCUUGUACCUCUUCAAGUCCUCCUGCGCACCGAAGGACCCUUACAUGCGAGUGCUGGAAAUGAACAGAGGUUCAGAAGUUAAUGCAAGUAACAGGUCCCAUGUUGCCUUGAAUCAGGUGUCCUGCUUCAGCAGCAGGAA
Molecule: long non-coding RNA, 1413 nt
Organism: Neofelis nebulosa (Clouded leopard)
Lineage: Eukaryota; Metazoa; Chordata; Mammalia; Carnivora; Felidae
Exons: 3
Source: RefSeq, a predicted model, not a curated record